ACUAAGUCACAAGGCAACCCUCAUGAUCCCCGGGCAAAAGGGUAGCUCUGUUUUUAAACCCGGAGGAGGCAUCUUCCCCCGGGGGUUGCCGGGCUUCUGUUCCUGUGUGUGUUGGUCUCCAGGAAGCCAUGGAGAGCUUGGCAGCAGGGAAAAUAGUAAUUGAGCAUCAGACAUCACCACUCCUGAAAAAAACCUUCUACAAG
RNAcentral lists this long non-coding RNA (203 nucleotides) under Homo sapiens (human). RNAcentral describes it as "non-protein coding lnc-ARSD-2:5". Lineage: Eukaryota; Metazoa; Chordata; Mammalia; Primates; Hominidae. The record is from RNAcentral.